RNAcentral lists this ribosomal RNA (465 nucleotides) under Vreelandella stevensii. Its description in RNAcentral is "partial 16S ribosomal RNA". It matches the Rfam family "Bacterial small subunit ribosomal RNA", at positions 338 to 795 of the family's 1533-position model. Lineage: Bacteria; Pseudomonadati; Pseudomonadota; Gammaproteobacteria; Oceanospirillales; Halomonadaceae. The record is from RNAcentral.
CCUACGGGAGGCUGCAGUGGGGAAUAUUGGACAAUGGGGGGAACCCUGAUCCAGCCAUGCCGCGUGUGUGAAGAAGGCCCUCGGGUUGUAAAGCACUUUCAGUGAGGAAGAACGCCUUGUGGUUAAUACCCAUCAGGAAAGACAUCACUCACAGAAGAAGCACCGGCUAACUCCGUGCCAGCAGCCGCGGUAAUACGGAGGGUGCGAGCGUUAAUCGGAAUUACUGGGCGUAAAGCGCGCGUAGGUGGCUUGAUAAGCCGGUUGUGAAAGCCCCGGGCUCAACCUGGGAACGGCAUCCGGAACUGUCAAGCUAGAGUGCAGGAGAGGAAGGUAGAAUUCCCGGUGUAGCGGUGAAAUGCGUAGAGAUCGGGAGGAAUACCAGUGGCGAAGGCGGCCUUCUGGACUGACACUGACACUGAGGUGCGAAAGCGUGGGUAGCAAACAGGAUUAGAUACCCCUGUAGUC